UAUUGGUCAAUGGACGAGAGUCUGAGCCAGCCAAGUAGCGUGAAGGAUGACUGCCCUAUGGGUUGUAAACUUCUUUUAUAUGGGAAUAAAGUUCAGUAUGUAUACUGUUUUGUAUGUACCAUAUGAAUAAGGAUCGGCUAACUCCGUGCCAGCAGCCCCGGUAAUACGGAGGAUCCGAGCGUUAUCCGGAUUUAGUGGGUUUAAAGGGAGGGUAGGCGGACGCUUAAGUCAGUUGUGAAAGUUUGCGGCUCAACCGUAAAAUUGCAGUUGAUACUGGGUGUCUUGAGUGCAGCAGAGGUAGGCGGAAUCCGUGGUGUAGCGGUGAAAUGCUUAGAUAUCACGAAGAACUCCGAUUGCGAAGGCAGCUUACUGGACUGUAACUGACGCUGAUGCUCGAAAGUGUGGGUAUCAAAC
This 414-nucleotide ribosomal RNA is filed under the name uncultured bacterium. Its description in RNAcentral is "bacterial SSU rRNA". It matches the Rfam family "Bacterial small subunit ribosomal RNA", at positions 362 to 773 of the family's 1533-position model. The record is from RNAcentral.